AGGGUUCGAUCAUGGCUCAGGAUGAACGCUAGCGGCAGGCUUAACACAUGCAAGUCGAACGGUAACAGAAAAAGCUUGCUUUUUGCUGACGAGUGGCGAACGGGUGCGUAACGCGUAUGCAACCUACCUUUAACUGAGGAAUAGCCCAGAGAAAUUUGGAUUAAUACCUCAUAACACUAUCAAUUCGCAUGUUUUAAUAGUUAAAGCUUUUGCGGUUAAAGAUGGGCAUGCGUAACAUUAGUUUGUUGGUGAGGUAAUGGCUCACCAAGACUACGAUGUUUAGGGGUUCUGAGAGGAUGAUCCCCCACACUGGUACUGAGACACGGACCAGACUCCUACGGGAGGCAGCAGUGAGGAACAUUGGUCAAUGGACGAAAGUCUGAACCAGCCAUGCCGCGUGAAGGAUGACGGCCCUACGGGUUGUAAACUUCUUUUGUAUAGGAAGAAACCCCUCUACGUGUAGAGGGCUGACGGUACUAUACGAAUAAGCACCGGCUAACUCCGUGCCAGCCGCCGCG
RNAcentral lists this ribosomal RNA (518 nucleotides) under uncultured bacterium. Its description in RNAcentral is "bacterial SSU rRNA". It matches the Rfam family "Bacterial small subunit ribosomal RNA", at positions 8 to 519 of the family's 1533-position model. The record is from RNAcentral.